Molecule: transfer RNA, 85 nt
Filed under: Cryptomonas curvata
Lineage: Eukaryota; Cryptophyceae; Cryptomonadales; Cryptomonadaceae
Description: tRNA-Asp
Rfam family: tRNA
About the family: Transfer RNA (tRNA) molecules are approximately 80 nucleotides in length. Their secondary structure includes four short double-helical elements and three loops (D, anti-codon, and T loops). Further hydrogen bonds mediate the characteristic L-shaped molecular structure. tRNAs have two regions of fundamental functional importance: the anti-codon, which is responsible for specific mRNA codon recognition, and the 3' end, to which the tRNAs corresponding amino acid is attached (by aminoacyl-tRNA synthetases). tRNAs cope with the degeneracy of the genetic code in two manners: having more than one tRNA (with a specific anti-codon) for a particular amino acid; and 'wobble' base-pairing, i.e. permitting non-standard base-pairing at the 3rd anti-codon position.
Source: RNAcentral
GUCCCUAUAGCUCAAUCGGUUAGUAUAAAACCAUAGCAUAUGACUGUUAAUCAUAAGGUCGAGAGUUCGAGUCUCUCUGGGGACG